AUACGUAGGUGGCGAGCGUUGUCCGGAAUUACUGGGUGUAAAGGGCGUGUAGGCGGGUAUACAAGUCAGAUGUGAAAUACCGGGGCUCAACUCCGGGGCUGCAUUUGAAACUGUAUAUCUUGAGUGCAGGAGAGGGAAGUGGAAUUCCUAGUGUAGCGGUGAAAUGCGUAGAUAUUAGGAGGAACACCAGUGGCGAAGGCGACUUCCUGGACUGUAACUGACGCUGAGGCGCGAACGCGUGGGGAGCGAACAGGAUUAGAUACCCUGGUAGUCCACGCUGUAAACGAUGGAUACUAGGUGUAGGAGGUAUCGACCCCUUCUGUGCCGGAGUUAACACAAUAAGUAUCCCACCUGGGGAGUACGGCCGCAAGGUUGAA
This 377-nucleotide ribosomal RNA is filed under the name uncultured bacterium. RNAcentral's name for it is "bacterial SSU rRNA". It matches the Rfam family "Bacterial small subunit ribosomal RNA", at positions 523 to 898 of the family's 1533-position model. The record is from RNAcentral.